ACAACAGUACUGUGAGGGAAAAGUUGCAAAGAACUUCGAAGAGAGAGUUCAAGAGUACGUGAAACUGCUCAGAGGUAAACGGGUGGGCCCUCGAAAUCCUGUGGCGAGAGGAUUCAGUCUGGUUCGGCGGACGCGGUGGCGGAAUUCAGCAGAGCUUCCCCGGAACGGGGGCCGUCUGCCUCUGCGCCUUUCUUCGUUCCAGACGCAUUUGUCUCUCGUCCGAAGGACGCCGCAGCCGGUUCGGAAGUGCAAGAGUGACGGCCUGAAGGUCGGGAAAUGGCAGGUGGCCGGUGGCUCGCUUCGUGCGGGUCGUCGGUUGUUAGCCGUCCCGUCAGUGGCCCGUCUCCGGACCAAGGUGUCGCGAGUCCCUCGGGACUCCACGUCUCCGCCCCCGUGUUGCGGGAUAGAUUCUGCAGGAGCGUUCAGCCCGGCGUCCGCACGCCUGACGCGUGGGAAGGCCGGGCACAGCUCUCUGAUGGUCGAGGCGAGGCCCGCGGGGGACACAAGGCUGGCGGCGAGUAGGUCGGUCACCCACCCGACCCGUCUUGAAACACGGACCAAGGAGUCUAACAGUGCGCAAGUCAAUGGGUCUUGAACAGGCCCAGGGGCGCAAUGAAAGCAAAGAGCGGACGAGUGCCGUGUGUGCGGGGAUCCCUCCUCUCCAGAGGGGGGCGCACCCACGACCCGUUCUGUGCCGCUCGCGGCUUGGGCGGAGUCUGAGCGUACACGUUGGGACCCGAAAGAUGGUGAACUAUGCCCGGAACAGAAUGAAGCCAGAGGAAACUCUGGUGGAGGUUCGCAGCGGUUCUGACGUGCAAAUCGAUCGUAAACAUCCUGUAAUAGGAAAAAAAAAAAAA
Molecule: ribosomal RNA, 857 nt
Filed under: Phintella abnormis
Lineage: Eukaryota; Metazoa; Arthropoda; Arachnida; Araneae; Salticidae
Description: eukaryotic LSU rRNA
Rfam family: Eukaryotic large subunit ribosomal RNA
Source: RNAcentral